CACAGACCUUUAUAACAGUAAAAUAUGUAAUUAUAGACACAUGAAUAUAAACCUAGAUUAUUAAAGCCUGUUAAGUACGCUGUAUGAAUAUAUAUUUAUAUUAUUUAUAGCUAUAUAUGCAACAGUAUACAGACAUCCAGAUACACAGAGCGUGCAGGCAUACGGAUGUAUUAUGACAAAUUGUGUGCAUAACACACAGCAUUUAUCAUAAACCCCCCCUUUAAAACAAUAAAAGCUUUAAAAAUAUAUAUUUUAAAGCCAUAUUCAAUUAGUAAAUUCUGAUGAUAUGGGGUGUGGUGUGUAUCAUAGCAAAUAUAGUGUGUGUGUAAAAAAAAAAAAGUCACAGUAAAUGCUGCUAAAUGUAUGCUAUGACAGUGUAAUUACCCAAUUUAAACCGAUACAGAUCUACAGCUACGUAGAGAGCUCUAUGUGCAUCUGUGUGUCUGCUUGUGUCUGUUAGAACAAACACACUGUGUUUGAUUAAAGCCGGCAUUUAUAUCGAUAAAAUCUACUAUAUGUAUUGAUAAAUAUAAAGCUAACCUUUAACAAUAAAUACUGCUAAAUAUGGUUUAUGAAAAUAGAAUUUUAAAAUGUUUUUCAAUAGCCACAUUAUUUUUAAUGUUGGUACAUAAGUAAGUGUGUUAAAACAUAUCAAUUCACUUUUAUAUGUUAUAUAGAUAAAACUACUGAGCAGGUGCACACACGCUGAGCAAGAGCAUGAUUGUGUCUGUGUUAUUUAAACAUGGGUGCGAGGAUUUUAAUGGAAUGUGUUACAUGAAUCUAAGCGACCACUCAGAAUCAAUUCAUAAGAGUACCCAAAAAUUGAAAGAUUUAAACAAAGACUUGCAGCUAAAUCAAAAAUGAGAUGCUUUUGGUCUAUUUCCAUGGCUUGGGAAUUUUGGACCGUGGGUCAAAAAUAUCGCAGGGUUUAUUUUUAUAGCUCUAAUUGCUGUAUUAAUGAUUGCCUUAUGUCUUCCUUGUCUUUUUUCUUGUGUUCAAUGACCAACCAAACGAAGUAUGAAUCAGGUUAUGGUCACACAGUUGUAUGCGAACCUUGCCCUUCCGCAGAUAAAUAAAGAAGGGGGAGAUGCGAAGCUAAAAAUAUCUUUUACUAGAAUGGUAUCAAAGCUAGAGCAAUAGGCAAUAAAGUGAUUCACUGCAUGAAGGUGCUCUGAGUCUGUGACUUCCAUACGCCACAAAGACCAACUGUGAUGCUCAGGCGGUCAGACCACAGCAGCACAGCAGCCGAGGAGGGACAUAAAUUACAACAGCAAAAUUAAGUUUUUGCCUGUAUAGCUCACUACAGCUCCCCUGAGCAACAUAAGCAAAAGGGCACUUUUGCCAACAUAACUAUUAAAACAAGGGCUUCGGCUGGCACAAGCACACAGGCAGACAUAGAUGUCACCCACUGCCCUGCUCCCAGCUUGCAGAACUCAAGGACAGCCUGUCCCCUUUGCUGCCAACCAGGGCUUGUAUUGGUUAAAACCACGGAAGUUACUUCUCCUUUUGAAUCUGCUGAGAAAAGCAAAGAGAUCAGUAAGUUCCUCUUUAUUUCCCUCCCACCCAGCUCAUCUUCCUCCUUCCUUUCCAGUUGGCAGGGGGAGGGCACAAGGAGCCCUGGAGCCCCGAAGCCCCCCUUUACCAGCUCUUGGCUCUGCCUUGAAGGUAGCACAGGAAGACCAAGGAUGAGUUUUUGACACUAAUGCAUGUACUUGGGCACUUCAUCCGGAGGAUGAUGACCCCAGCCCCUCCCCAGCUGCACGCACAGGGUUCUCCUCCCUGGUCACACUGAGGGACCACCGCUCUACUUACAGGACCAGGAGGCUAACGAAAAGGAUAAGGAGCAGCCAAGUGACAACAGUCAAGUUUGGCAGGAGGUCCAUCCUGUGUCCCCGUCUGCCCUAA
Long non-coding RNA from Strigops habroptila (Kakapo), 1905 nucleotides. NCBI's taxonomy places the organism in Eukaryota, Metazoa, Chordata, Aves, Psittaciformes, Psittacidae. The record is from Ensembl.